UGCAUUUCCUUCUAGGUCGUU
This is a non-coding RNA of Caenorhabditis elegans, 21 nucleotides long. Lineage: Eukaryota; Metazoa; Nematoda; Chromadorea; Rhabditida; Rhabditidae. The record is from Ensembl.